RNAcentral lists this ribosomal RNA (253 nucleotides) under uncultured bacterium. Its description in RNAcentral is "partial 16S ribosomal RNA". It matches the Rfam family "Bacterial small subunit ribosomal RNA", at positions 524 to 776 of the family's 1533-position model. The record is from RNAcentral.
UACGGAGGGUGCAAGCGUUAUCCGGAUUCACUGGGGUUAAAGGGUGCGUAGGUGGGCACGUAAGUCAGUGGUGAAAUCUCCGGGCUUAACCCGGAAACUGCCAUUGAUACUAUUUGUCUUGAAUACUGUGGAGGUCAGCGGAAUAUGUCAUGUAGCGGUGAAAUGCUUAGAUAUGACAUAGAACACCAAUUGCGAAGGCAGCUGGCUACACAAAUAUUGACACUGAGGCACGAAAGCGUGGGGAUCAAACAGG